This 90-nucleotide unclassified non-coding RNA is filed under the name Pseudomonas migulae. Lineage: Bacteria; Pseudomonadati; Pseudomonadota; Gammaproteobacteria; Pseudomonadales; Pseudomonadaceae. The record is from RNAcentral.
UGUAGGAGCCGGCUUGCUGGCGAUAGCGUCGGAUCAGUCAAAAAACAGGUUGGCUGACCCACCGCUAUCGCCAGCAAGCCGGCUCCUACA